Molecule: ribosomal RNA, 484 nt
Filed under: uncultured bacterium
Lineage: Bacteria
Description: partial 16S ribosomal RNA
Rfam family: Bacterial small subunit ribosomal RNA
Source: RNAcentral
AUUGAACGCUGGCGGCAGGCCUAACACAUGCAAGUCGAGCGGAUGAAGGGAGCUUGCUCCUGGAUUCAGCGGCGGACGGGUGAGUAAUUCCUAGGAAUCUGCCUUGUAGGGGGGGAUAACGUCCGGACACGGGCGCUAAUACCGCAUACGUCCUGAGGGAGAAAGUGGGGGAUCUUCGGACCUCACGCUAUCAGAUGAGCCUAGGUCGGAUUAGCUAGUUGGUGGGGUAAAGGCCUACCAAGGCGACGAUCCGUAACUGGUCUGAGAGGAUGAUCAGUCACACUGGAACUGAGACACGGUCCAGACUCCUACGGGAGGCAGCAGUGGGGAAUAUUGGACAAUGGGCGAAAGCCUGAUCCAGCCAUGCCGCGUGUGUGAAGAAGGUCUUCGGAUUGUAAAGCACUUUAAGUUGGGAGGAAGGGCAGUAAGUUAAUACCUUGCUGUUUUGACGGUACCAACAGAAUAAGCACCGGCUAACUUCGUG